Molecule: ribosomal RNA, 253 nt
Filed under: uncultured bacterium
Lineage: Bacteria
Description: partial 16S ribosomal RNA
Rfam family: Bacterial small subunit ribosomal RNA
Source: RNAcentral
UACGAAGGUGGCAAGCGUUGUUCGGAUUUACUGGGCGUAAAGGGAGCGUAGGUGGUUAGGUAAGCCCUCCGGGAAAUCUUCAGGCUUAACCUGAAAAGGUCGGGGGGGACUGCCUAGCUAGAGGGCGGGAGAGGAGCGCGGAAUUCCCGGUGUAGCGGUGAAAUGCGUAGAUAUCAGGAGGAACACCGGUGGCGAAGGCGGCUCACUGGCUCGUAACUGACGCUCAUGCACGACAGCGUGGGGAUCAAACAGG